CCUACGGGAGGCUGCAGUGGGGAAUAUUGGACAAUGGGGGGAACCCUGAUCCAGCCAUGCCGCGUGUGUGAAGAAGGCCCUCGGGUUGUAAAGCACUUUCAGUGAGGAAGAACGCCUGGUGGUUAAUACCCAUCAGGAAAGACAUCACUCACAGAAGAAGCACCGGCUAACUCCGUGCCAGCAGCCGCGGUAAUACGGAGGGUGCGAGCGUUAAUCGGAAUUACUGGGCGUAAAGCGCGCGUAGGUGGCUUGAUAAGCCGGUUGUGAAAGCCCCGGGCUCAACCCGGGAACGGCAUCCGGAACUGUCAAGCUAGAGUGCAGGAGAGGAAGGUAGAAUUCCCGGUGUAGCGGUGAAAUGCGUAGAGAUCGGGAGGAAUACCAGUGGCGAAGGCGGCCUUCUGGACUGACACUGACACUGAGGUGCGAAAGCGUGGGUAGCAAACAGGAUUAGAUACCCGGGUAGUC
This 465-nucleotide ribosomal RNA is filed under the name Vreelandella stevensii. RNAcentral's name for it is "partial 16S ribosomal RNA". It matches the Rfam family "Bacterial small subunit ribosomal RNA", at positions 338 to 795 of the family's 1533-position model. Lineage: Bacteria; Pseudomonadati; Pseudomonadota; Gammaproteobacteria; Oceanospirillales; Halomonadaceae. The record is from RNAcentral.